RNAcentral lists this ribosomal RNA (171 nucleotides) under uncultured bacterium. Its description in RNAcentral is "partial 16S ribosomal RNA". It matches the Rfam family "Bacterial small subunit ribosomal RNA", at positions 338 to 524 of the family's 1533-position model. The record is from RNAcentral.
CCUACGGGAGGCAGCAGUGGGGAAUAUUGGGCAAUGGACGCAAGUCUGACCCAGCAACGCCGCGUGAAGGAAGAAGGCUUUCGGGUUGUAAACUUCUUUUAAGGGGGAAGAGCGGAAGACGGUACCCCUUGAAUAAGCCACGGCUAACUACGUGCCAGCAGCCGCGGUAAU